UACGUAGGGGGCUAGCGUUGUCCGGAUUUAUUGGGCGUAAAGAGCUCGUAGGUGGUUCGGUAAGUCGGAUGUGAAAUCUCCAGGCUCAACCUGGAGGGGUCAUUCGAUACUGCCGUGACUAGAGUUCGGUAGAGGAGUGUGGAAUUCCUGGUGGAGCGGUGAAAUGCGCAGAGAUCAGGAGGAACACCCGUAGCGACGGCGGCACUCUGGGCCGAUACUGACACUGAGGAGCGAAAGCGUGGGGAGCGAACAGG
Molecule: ribosomal RNA, 254 nt
Filed under: uncultured bacterium
Lineage: Bacteria
Description: partial 16S ribosomal RNA
Rfam family: Bacterial small subunit ribosomal RNA
Source: RNAcentral